GUCACUCAUCACGAAAUCUCCAAAACUAUAACACAUACAAACUUGAAAUUUGGCAAGUAGGCUCCUUAUAGGACGUAGACAUCCGCUAAGAACGGAUUUUGCGAAACUCAACCCCUAAAGGGGUAAAAUGGGGGUUGGAAGUUUGUAUGAGAGUCCCAUGUUUUUGACGUAAGAGACUUGAAAUUUAAAAUUUAAGCUCUAUAGAUAGAUGGUGAAAAGGUGUCUAAAUAAUGUAUCUUUAGAAAUCAACCCCUUUUUGGGUUAAAACGGGGGAUAGUAGGUUGACUCACUGAUCACGAAAUCUCCAAAACUAUAACACUUACAAACUUGAAAUUUAGCAGGUAGGCUCCUUAUAGAUCAUAGACAUCCGCUAAGAACGGAUUUUACGAAACUCGACCCCUAAGGGAGUAAAACGGGGGUUGGAAGUUUGUAUG
RNAcentral lists this unclassified non-coding RNA (434 nucleotides) under Melitaea cinxia (Glanville fritillary). RNAcentral describes it as "misc RNA ENSMCXG00005007393.1". The record is from RNAcentral. Lineage: Eukaryota; Metazoa; Arthropoda; Insecta; Lepidoptera; Nymphalidae.